This 294-nucleotide unclassified non-coding RNA is filed under the name Glomus sp. Its description in RNAcentral is "partial contains 5.8S ribosomal RNA, internal transcribed spacer 2, and large subunit ribosomal RNA". The stretch from base 1 to 71 matches the Rfam family "5.8S ribosomal RNA", at positions 84 to 154 of the family's 154-position model. Lineage: Eukaryota; Fungi; Glomeromycota; Glomeromycetes; Glomerales; Glomeraceae. The record is from RNAcentral.
GUGAAUCAUCGAAUUUUUGAACGCAAAUUGCACUUUCUGGUAUUCCGGAAAGGAUGCCUGUUUGAGGGUCGGUGAAAUAAAAAUCGGUGUUGUUGCUGCCCUGCGUGGUGACACGUCGGAAUUGGGUCGUCUUACUUUCGGUUAAGUGACGGAAAAUGUUUGCAUGAGUUUCGGACGUAUUUAACGCGCUUACGUACGGGUGAGAUAUCGAAUGCUUAUUAGGUUCGGUCAUUCCCAUGAGUCGCGCCUAUAAUGUUUCAUUAAAUGACCUCAAAUCAGGUAAGAAUACACGCU